UUACAUGUAAAGUAGGGAAAUUUUUAUUGGUAUAACAAAACACCAAAAUAUUAACGCCUUUUGUAACAAAAUCUGUAACGACCCAACUUUUCAAAGUAAGUCGAGAUCGUUAGUUUUUAACAAAUAAAAGACUUUGAUUAAUAUAAAACAAAACGUAAGCAAUUUAAAAAAAAAAACAUCUUCAAGUCAGGCCUGAUUUUUAAACAUUCAAGAAAACAUAAAAUAAUACUGUUUGCAACAAACGUUUGUAAACUAAAUUUUUAUCUCAAUCUUAAAUAAGCGGAAGCAAUUACACGUUUCCUAUGGCAUCACGCUUCCUUCCUGCCCCUCGCCGGUUUGCCGCCUUUAUUACCUUUGCCUGAAAAUUAAACAUAAGAAGGGUGAGUAUUUUAAAUACUCAGUAAGAGACCCUCUACUGGUCUCGUCAGGGGAAAAAUAAAUUGUUAAAGUUCUAUUGGGACACCCUGUACAGUCGCAGUCUUGUGAUCCCGUAGGAUACACAUCUCAGUCUAACGCCCCGAAGGACGUACAUAUCAGUCUGACGCCCCGAGGGACGUACAUAUCAGUCAAGUGUUCUGCAGAACACAUAUCAGUCAAAUGCUCCCGAAGGUGCAAAAUAAAUUGGUGAUCCCGUGGGACACCUACAAGGUAAUCAUCCCAAUACAACCUAACAAUUUAUCCCCUCAUUCCAUUCAACCCAUCUUUCAGAUACUUCAAAACAUAGAGUUCUUUCUCUCAACGUCCUAACAGUCAACUUAUCUCACUUUAGUCAUAUGUCUGUCAAUAAUAUACUACUAUGUCAGUCAAUCAAACUAUACAGUCAAUACACCCCUCAGAUCACCAGCACACAGUCAUACUUUAGCGUAACGACACCCAAUCUAAACGACAAUCACAAGAUCGCAUCUGCAUCUCAUACAAGCAUAAUCUACAAUUUUCGUCCUGUCCACAUCCACCCACAUAUAUAUAUAUUCCAUGACAAUCACAAUAUGCAUUCAACAUUAAGUCUACUUCAAUUCAUAUGCAUAUAUAUAUAUUUUCAGUCAAUCCACAGUAUACAUUCAACACCGAAUCUACACCCAUACGUGUAUAUACAUAUGUAUCAUCUCAACAUCUUUACUCAGUCAGGGAUAAUCAUUCAGACAUACAAUUCACAAUCAUAAGUGAGUCCAGUAGAAAAUCCCUUACUUUCAAAUUUGUUAAGCUCCUUAACCACGUUGAAGUCUAUGAAGAACGAACCUAAACAUUAAGACAAUUUCUCAAUAAUUCCCUUCAACGCAUCAGUCAUUUAAAUUCAACCCAAUGUGAAUCUUUUUGCAACUUACCCAAAUCUUCGCGAAAGAAAUCGAGCAGUGGCUUUGCGAAGAGAUGACGUGCGACGGAGAGACCGUAUACAGAUGGUCGGAGAGUCGCGCGGCAGUGCAGACAACGGAGGAGAAGGGAUCGGCGGCGGCUGGCUUGGACGGCGGUUGUGAGUGGCGGACGUGGCGGUUACUGGUUCACAUGGCGGCUCGGGCUUCGACGAAGACAGAACCGGCUGAGACGGCUGGGCAGCGGCGGAAGGUCUUGCGGUACAGAUCUGGACGGUGGUCGCAAGGUGACGCGUACGGCGGCCGCAAGGUGACGCGUACGGCUGCCUCACGAACUGGCCGAUGGUUGCAGCGACGUCCGGCUGGGUUUGACGGAACGGAGAGGAAAAGAGAAGAUGGAGAUGGCCGACGGCGGUUGCUGUGCGAACGGAUGGGGCGGCUGCUAGGGUACCGGAAGGAGAAGAAAAGAAAAAUGAGGGAGGGGUUGUGUGCGGCGCUCGCGCGAGAGGAAGAAGGAAGGAAAGAUAUAUUCUUUUCUUUUCUUUUCUUUUUAUUUAAAUUAAGUAUAAAAAUAUAUAUAUAUAUAUAAUUAAAAACAAAAUAUAUAUAUAUACAUACCUUUGGGGCAUUACAUUCUUCCCUCCUUAAGAAACUUUCGUCCUCGAAAGUUUUACUCCUGAAAUAACUCUGGAUAACGAGUCCUCAUCUCUUCCUCUCGCUCCCAUGUCGCCUCUUCAAUUCGAUGAUUCCGCCACAAAACCUUUACUAAUGGAAUGCUUCUAUUACGAAGCAUCUUUACCUCUCUAGCCAGAAUCUCCACAGGUUGUUCUACAUAGCUCAAAUGCUCAUCAAUCUCCAAGGGUUCAUAGUCCACUACAUGAGACGUAUCGGCCACAUACUUCCUCAACAUCGAAACAUGAAAAACAUUAUGAACUGCAGAGAGAGAUGGUGGUAAUGCCAAGCGAUACGCCACAACACCAACCCUCUCUAAGAUCUCAAAUGGUCCAACAAAACGAGGACUUAACUUUCCUUUCUUCUCAAAACGCAUAACACCCUUCAUAGGUGCUACCUUCAAGAAUACCUUUUCUCCCACAUCGAACUUAAGGUCUUUUCGUCGUACAUCCGCAUAACUCUUCUGUCUACUCUGCGCUGUUUGCAUACGUGCUCUAAUCUUUUGAAUAGCCUCAUUAGUAGACCGAACCAAUUCAGGUCCCAUCAAUCUAUGUUCACCAACCUCACUCCAACAAACAGGGGUUCUACAACAUUUGCCAUAUAAAGCCUCAAAUGGUGCCAUACCGAUGGUAGCCUGGAAACUGUUGUUAUAAGCAAACUCCAUCAAAUGUAGAUGAGAGUCCCAACUACCUGGAAACUCUAUAACACAAGCUCGUAGCAUAUCCUCUAAAACUUGGUUCAAACGUUCAGUUUGACCAUCAGUCUGUGGAUGAAAGGCUGUACUGAAAUCCAAUCUCGUACCCAUAGCAGUCUGAAGUCCCUUCCAAAACUUGGAAGUAAACCGUGCAUCCCUAUCAGAAACAAUCGAUACAGGCACUCCAUGCAGUCUCACAAUCUCAGUUAAAUACAACUCUGCCCACUUACUAGCAGUAUAAGUGGAUUUUCCUGGUACAAAAUGUGCCGAUUUUGUAAGCCUGUCUAUGACAACCAGAAUCACUGUGAAACCCUUCAGGGUCUUAGGCAGCCCUGAAAUAAAAUCCAUCGACACAUUCUCUCACUUCCACUCUGGCACACUUAAAGGUUGUAAUAAACCUGCUGGUUUCUGUCUAGGUGCCUUAACUUGCUGACAUACUAGACACUUACUAACAAAUUCCGCCACUUCCCUUUUCAUAUUCCGCCACCAGUAAAAUCGUUUUAAAUCCUGAUACAUUUUCGUGCUACCAGGAUGCAUGGAAAAUGGGGAAUUAUGGGCUUCAUCUAGUAAGUCAAUCUUAACUGUACUGUUCGCUGGCACACAUAAACGUCUUUCAAACAUCAACCCACCAUCAGAGGAUAUGGAGAACUCAUCAGUCUGCCCUGUUUCAACAAGGCGACGUCUCUCCAUCAAAUAAGGAUCACUACUCUGAGCAUCAACAAUCUUGUGCCUCAGAGUCGGUUGCACCGUUAAUUGAGCUAGCUGUGAGGUGACUCUCCCCACAGACACUGCAAUCUCAGCUCUCUCCAAGUCUCGAUGCACUGGUACCUGUCUAGUAAUGAGUGCUGCCGAAUGUGAUACUUUUCUACUAAGAGCAUCAGCCACCACAUUCGCCUUACCAGGAUGGUACAAAAUCUCACAAUCAUAGUCAUUUACUAACUGAAACCAUCUUUGCUAUCUCAUACUCAACUUCUUUUGAGUGAAGAAGUAUUUUAUACUCUUUUGGUUAGAAAAUAUCUAUAUCUUUUCAUCAUACAAAUAGUGCCUUCAAAUCAUUAAUGUAAAAACCACAACUGUCAAUUCCAUAUCAUAAGUUGGAUAAUUUUCCUCAUGACUCUUCAACUGACGAGGAGCACAAGCAACUACUUUAACUUGUUGAAUCAGAAUACCUUUUAAAUUUUCCUAAAAGAAUCACUAUAAAUUACGAAACUUUCUGAACCAUCAUGUACGGUAAGCACGGGAGUUGUACAAGCUUCUACUUAAGAUCCUGAACACUAUCCUCAUAGGCUUUGUCCCAAACAAACAGAGUCCCUUUUCUUAGUUAACUGAGUCAAAGGAGUAGCUAUACGAGAAAAUUCUUAUACAAACCGUUAGUAAUAACCUGCUAACCCUAAAAGACUAUAAACCUCACUGACUAUGAAAAGUCGAGGCCAACUAGUAACAACUUCAAUCUUUUGUGAGAUCCACAUAAAUGUCACCUCUAGAUACCACAUGGCUUGGAAAGAUACUUGGCCUCAUCCAAAACUCACAUUUUGAAAACUUUGCAUACAAUUUGUUGACUCGAAGAGCCUCUAAAACCAUGUUAAAUGUUCCUCAUGCGCUGUCUCUAUUUUGGAAUAAAUUAAGAUAUCGUCAAUAGAUACAAUCACAAAAGUGUCUAAGAGAUCGUUAAACACUUUGUUCAUCAAGUCGUAAACAUUGUUUGAGCAUUUGCCAACUCAAAAGACAUCAUAAUGAACUCAUGAUGUCCAUAUCUCGAAAGAAAAUCUGCCUUAGGAAUGUCACUGUUCUCUAAUCCUCAACAAGUCAUAACCUGAAUGUAAUUCAAUCUUAAAGAACACGGACUUAUUGCAGUUGAUCAAACAAAUCCUCAUUCAUUGGUAAAAGAUAUUUAUUCUUAACCGACACCUUAUUCAACUUUCUACAAUCGAAACAUAAGUGCAUCGACCCAUCUUUCUUCUUAAUAAACAAAAAUUGGUGCACCCCAAGAUAACAUACUUCGUCGAAUGUAGUCCUUGUCAAACAUUUCUUUCAAUUGCACCUUCAAAUCUUUCAACUCUGUUGGGGCCAUUUUGUAUGAAGCUUUAGAUAUAGGAACGAGUCUAACUCUAUCUCAAUAGGAAGACCAAUUUCUGUUUAGCGCGGUAUUCUUAGAAACUCUUCUAGAAAAAUAUCAUAAUACUUUUUCACCACUGAUUCAAAUAACAAAGAAACAUCGACUUCUCUGAUGUCUACCACACUAGUCAAAUACAACAGGUACCCUGGUCAAGCAACUUACUAACCUUCAUAGCUGGGAUAACUUUUAGCGAAACGAUAGUUCCAACCUCUUUGUACUUGAAACUAGCCUCUGGAGAAGGAUUAGAAACUACAUUUUCGCUGAACAUUUUAUGUUUACAUGGUUAAACUACAUUCCAAUUUUCAAACUCCAAACUAGUAACUUUUCAUUCACGAGAAACUCAAAAUUGUUUCUUAAAGUCACAUCAAGACAACCAUGCUCAUCUUCCUUGUUUCUUUUCCAAUACCUCCAUUCUAAAACCAUUUAAUGUGUUUCGUAUAAACUUGACCGUGUAUUUAGUCCUCUUUAAAACCACCUACAUAACUUAUUUUUCUUAGAUUUCCAAUCACAAAACAGACAUUUUCGCUAACAACGUCUUACUUUUCUACUACUCGACCACUCCUUUGAACACCUCUACAUGACAACAUUUUUCCUAAAUUUCACCAUUAAAUCCUUCACCAUUAAAUCAUAACAUUCAUGUAAUUCUAGUUUAACUUAGGCAAGGUCAUAUACAUAAACCAUACAUAUAAGCAUAAAGCAUACCUGACGAGAGACGAAGGGUCGCGUUAGCCAUAGGAACACAAAAACAUAGACUUACAUCGUAAGUCAGUCUACAGAACCUAAAACUUAGGCUCUGAUACCAACUGUAACGACCCAACUUUUCAAAGUAAGUCGAGAUCGUUAGUUUUUAACAAAUAAAAGACUUUGAUUAAUAUAAAACAAAACGUAAGCAAUUUAAAAAAAAAACAUCUUCAAGUCAGGCCUGAUUUUUAAACAUUCAAGAAAACAUAAAAUAAUACUGUUUGCAACAAACGUUUGUAAACUAAAUUUUUAUCUCAAUCUUAAAUAAGCGGAAGCAAUUACACGUUUCCUAUGGCAUCACGCUUCCUUCCUGCCCCUCGCCGGUUUGCCGCCUUUAUUACCUUUGCCUGAAAAUUAAACAUAAGAAGGGUGAGUAUUUUAAAUACUCAGUAAGAGACCCUCUACUGGUCUCGUCAGGGGAAAAAUAAAUUGUUAAAGUUCUAUUGGGACACCCUGUACAGUCGCAGUCUUGUGAUCCCGUAGGAUACACAUCUCAGUCUAACGCCCCGAAGGACGUACAUAUCAGUCUGACGCCCCGAGGGACGUACAUAUCAGUCAAGUGUUCUGCAGAACACAUAUCAGUCAAAUGCUCCCGAAGGUGCAAAAUAAAUUGGUGAUCCCGUGGGACACCUACAAGGUAAUCAUCCAAUACAACCUAACAAUUUAUCCCCUCAUUCCAUUCAACCCAUCUUUCAGAUACUUCAAAACAUAGAGUUCUUUCUCUCAACGUCCUAACAGUCAACUUAUCUCACUUUAGUCAUAUGUCUGUCAAUAAUAUACUACUAUGUCAGUCAAUCAAACUAUACAGUCAAUACACCCCUCAGAUCACCAGCACACAGUCAUACUUUAGCGUAACGACACCCAAUCUAAACGACAAUCACAAGAUCGCAUCUGCAUCUCAUACAAGCAUAAUCUACAAUUUUCGUCCUGUCCACAUCCACCCACAUAUAUAUAUAUUCCAUGACAAUCACAAUAUGCAUUCAACAUUAAGUCUACUUCAAUUCAUAUGCAUAUAUAUAUAUUUUCAGUCAAUCCACAGUAUACAUUCAACACCGAAUCUACACCCAUACGUGUAUAUACAUAUGUAUCAUCUCAACAUCUUUACUCAGUCAGGGAUAAUCAUUCAGACAUACAAUUCACAAUCAUAAGUGAGUCCAGUAGAAAAUCCCUUACUUUCAAAUUUGUUAAGCUCCUUAACCACGUUGAAGUCUAUGAAGAACGAACCUAAACAUUAAGACAAUUUCUCAAUAAUUCCCUUCAACGCAUCAGUCAUUUAAAUUCAACCCAAUGUGAAUCUUUUUGCAACUUACCCAAAUCUUCGCGAAAGAAAUCGAGCAGUGGCUUUGCGAAGAGAUGACGUGCGACGGAGAGACCGUAUACAGAUGGUCGGAGAGUCGCGCGGCAGUGCAGACAACGGAGGAGAAGGGAUCGGCGGCGGCUGGCUUGGACGGCGGUUGUGAGUGGCGGACGUGGCGGUUACUGGUUCACAUGGCGGCUCGGGCUUCGACGAAGACAGAACCGGCUGAGACGGCUGGGCAGCGGCGGAAGGUCUUGCGGUACAGAUCUGGACGGUGGUCGCAAGGUGACGCGUACGGCGGCCGCAAGGUGACGCGUACGGCUGCCUCACGAACUGGCCGAUGGUUGCAGCGACGUCCGGCUGGGUUUGGACGGAACGGAGAGGAAAAGAGAAGAUGGAGAUGGCCGACGGCGGUUGCUGUGCGAACGGAUGGGGCGGCUGCUAGGGUACCGGAAGGAGAAGAAAAGAAAAAUGAGGGAGGGGUUGUGUGCGGCGCUCGCGCGAGAGGAAGAAGGAAGGAAAGAUAUAUUCUUUUCUUUUCUUUUCUUUUUAUUUAAAUUAAGUAUAAAAAUAUAUAUAUAUAUAUAAUUAAAAACAAAAUAUAUAUAUAUACAUACCUUUGGGGCAUUACAAAAUCAAAAAGCCCUGGAAGCACCCGUUGUUUUUUUACAUAUUUCAGGUUUGCCCUUCGUUUCCAUCUUCUUUCUUCUGCAACUUUUUUUCAAACUGUUAUUUAGUUCAAGAUAGUGUACCAAAUAUAAA
This 7589-nucleotide long non-coding RNA is filed under the name Cucumis sativus (cucumber). Its description in RNAcentral is "long non-coding RNA (CSAT_LNC000126)". Lineage: Eukaryota; Viridiplantae; Streptophyta; Magnoliopsida; Cucurbitales; Cucurbitaceae. The record is from RNAcentral.